This is a long non-coding RNA of Drosophila montana, 642 nucleotides long. RefSeq lists it as uncharacterized. The record is from RefSeq and is a predicted model, not a curated record. Lineage: Eukaryota; Metazoa; Arthropoda; Insecta; Diptera; Drosophilidae. The transcript is spliced from 3 exons.
UACCCGCCCUACCUGAGACGAUCACCUGAUCUCGUCACCCACAUUUUGGCCACAAGAUGGCCUGCAUCAGCCCGUGACGUCUGUCAUGCGUCCUCUCCCCAUCAAUGGAUAUAUAGCCGGACAUUGUUUUCCUUCAAUAUGAUAUCAAUUCAGCUCUUUAUCAUGUCAUGCAAGCUUUUCUUUUCACUAGCCGAACAACAUCAAAAGAAGGACGUCACCGAAAGUUAUGUCCAAUUGUCGCUGGGAACAACGUUGGCGAACAAAUGUAUAUAUUUUAAUUUGAACGAUUGGCUCCCCACAUAUUCAUGCACGUAAUGCUCAUGGAACGGACUCACGUGAAUAUCGCCGCCCUUCCCGAUUUUGGCUGUCGGCGCCUCGCCCGCUGCAGCUCGCCUUUGGAGUCUCCUCUCUUCCUGCUCUUGGAUGGCUUGCGCGCUCCCUCGGCUCGGAAAAUGUAUCCACUGGCCAGCGCCGUCGAAGUGAGCUUGGACCUGGACUAUGUUGGCUUUGGUCCGAUAUUUAUUUAUUGGUAUGCGCGGCACUCGGUUUGUCGGGUCUAAUUUAAAGUAUUCUUUUUUAGUCACAGCCUAAGAUUUUGUGUGGCCCGACAAAGAAAAUUAAAUUUUUGCUCUGCUCGAUGUA